UACGUAGGGUGCAAGCGUUAAUCGGAAUUACUGGGCGUAAAGCGUGCGCAGGCGGUAAUGUAAGACAGAUGUGAAAUCCCCGGGCUCAACCUGGGAACUGCAUUUGUGACUGCAUUGCUGGAGUGCGGCAGAGGGGGAUGGAAUUCCGCGUGUAGCAGUGAAAUGCGUAGAUAUGCGGAGGAACACCGAUGGCGAAGGCAAUCCCCUGGGCCUGCACUGACGCUCAUGCACGAAAGCGUGGGGAGCAAAC
Molecule: ribosomal RNA, 250 nt
Filed under: uncultured bacterium
Lineage: Bacteria
Description: partial 16S ribosomal RNA
Rfam family: Bacterial small subunit ribosomal RNA
Source: RNAcentral